AUUGAACGCUGGCGGCAUGCCUUACACAUGCAAGUCGAACGGUAACGGGCCUUCGGGUGCCGACGAGUGGCGAACGGGUGAGUAAUACAUCGGAACGUGCCCGAUCGUGGGGGUUAACGAGGCGAAAGCUUUGCUAAUACCGCAUACGAUCUACGGAUGAAAGCAGGGGACCGCAAGGCCUUGCGCGGACGGAGCGGCCGAUGGCAGAUUAGGUAGGUGGUGGGAUAAAAACUUACCAAGCCGACGAGCUGUAGCUGGGCUGAGAGGAUGAUCAGCCACACUGGGACUGGAACACGGCCCAGACUCCUACGGGAGGCAGCAGUGGGGAAUUUUGGACAAUGGGCGCAAGCCUGGUCCAGCCAUGCCGAGUGCAGGAUGAAGGCCUUCGGGUUGUAAACUGCUUUUGUACGGAACGAAAAGCCUUCUUUUAAUACAGGAGGGUCAUGACGGUACCGUAAGAAUAAGCACCGGCUAACUACGUG
RNAcentral lists this ribosomal RNA (482 nucleotides) under uncultured bacterium. RNAcentral's name for it is "partial 16S ribosomal RNA". It matches the Rfam family "Bacterial small subunit ribosomal RNA", at positions 30 to 507 of the family's 1533-position model. The record is from RNAcentral.